CGGGAGGCAGCAGUAGGGAAUCUUCCACAAUGGACGCAAGUCUGAUGGAGCAACGCCGCGUGAGUGAAGAAGGUUUUCGGAUCGUAAAGCUCUGUUGUUGGUGAAGAAGGAUAGAGGUAGUAACUGGCCUUUAUUUGACGGUAAUCAACCAGAAAGUCACGGCUAACUACGUGCCAGCAGCCGCGGUAAUACGUAGGUGGCAAGCGUUGUCCGGAUUUAUUGGGCGUAAAGCGAGCGCAGGCGGAAGAAUAAGUCUGAUGUGAAAGCCCUCGGCUUAACCGAGGAACUGCAUCGGAAACUGUUUUUCUUGAGUGCAGAAGAGGAGAGUGGAACUCCAUGUGUAGCGGUGGAAUGCGUAGAUAUAUGGAAGAACACCAGUGGCGAAGGCGGCUCUCUGGUCUGCAACUGACGCUGAGGCUCGAAAGCAUGGGUAGCGAACAGGAUUAGAUACCCUGGUAGUCCAUGCCGUAAACGAUGAGUGCUAAGUGUUGGGAGGUUUCCGCCUCUCAGUGCUGCAGCUAACGCAUUAAGCACUCCGCCUGGGGAGUACGACCGCAAGGUUGAAACUCAAAGGAAUUGACGGGGGCCCGCACAAGCGGUGGAGCAUGUGGUUUAAUUCGAAGCAACGCGAAGAACCUUACCAGGUCUUGACAUCUAGUGCCAUUUGUAGAGAUACAAAGUUCCCUUCGGGGACGCUAAGACAGGUGGUGCAUGGCUGUCGUCAGCUCGUG
RNAcentral lists this ribosomal RNA (731 nucleotides) under Lactobacillus crispatus. Its description in RNAcentral is "bacterial SSU rRNA". It matches the Rfam family "Bacterial small subunit ribosomal RNA", at positions 342 to 1064 of the family's 1533-position model. The record is from RNAcentral. Lineage: Bacteria; Bacillati; Bacillota; Bacilli; Lactobacillales; Lactobacillaceae.